AGAGAGAGAGCUGUGAUCUCAUCCGGCGAACUUCCGGCAAUCCUCCGGUGAACGUCCAAUGAUGAGUUUGUGGACUCAACAACAUAGAUUUCUUGUCCUGAUUUUGUCAACCUUCCAUGAUCAUUUUAGGGAGUGGUCUUGGAUCUCAUUUUUGCACUUAGGAAAUACCAGAUCAUGAGUGAUAGACCGGCGUGGAUCUCGACAGUUUGUCUGUAGAUGUUGUCUUAUCCUGUUGUAAAUUUUGAGUUCUUGUUAUUGUCUAUCCAUGUAUUCCCGUAUUUUGUAUUUUUAAACUUCUAUAUCCCGAUAUUGUGUACUUUGUAGAGUUUGUAAUCCUGUAACUCAGUUGGGUUGUUAUAGAUUCGUCUGCUUUGUAUCAGAUUCUGAGGCCUUGCAGGCCUAUGGGGCUCACACCUUGUGGAUUUGCGGCCGUUUGUCUGCGC
Long non-coding RNA from Dioscorea cayenensis subsp. rotundata (Guinea yam), 443 nucleotides. RefSeq lists it as uncharacterized. The record is from RefSeq and is a predicted model, not a curated record. The transcript is spliced from 3 exons. NCBI's taxonomy places the organism in Eukaryota, Viridiplantae, Streptophyta, Magnoliopsida, Dioscoreales, Dioscoreaceae.